RNAcentral lists this ribosomal RNA (2902 nucleotides) under Klebsiella pneumoniae. RNAcentral describes it as "23S ribosomal RNA". It matches the Rfam family "Bacterial large subunit ribosomal RNA". RNAcentral also lists the same sequence under 1 other name. The record is from RNAcentral. Lineage: Bacteria; Pseudomonadati; Pseudomonadota; Gammaproteobacteria; Enterobacterales; Enterobacteriaceae.
GGUUAAGCGACUAAGCGUACACGGUGGAUGCCCUGGCAGUCAGAGGCGAUGAAGGACGUGCUAAUCUGCGAAAAGCGUCGGUAAGGUGAUAUGAACCGUUAUAACCGGCGAUGUCCGAAUGGGGAAACCCAGUGCAAUUCGUUGCACUAUCGUUAACUGAAUACAUAGGUUAACGAGGCGAACCGGGGGAACUGAAACAUCUAAGUACCCCGAGGAAAAGAAAUCAACCGAGAUUCCCCCAGUAGCGGCGAGCGAACGGGGAGCAGCCCAGAGUCUGAAUCAGCUUGUGUGUUAGUGGAACGGUCUGGAAAGUCCGACGGUACAGGGUGAUAGUCCCGUACACCAAAAUGCACAGGCUGUGAACUCGAAGAGUAGGGCGGGACACGUGGUAUCCUGUCUGAAUAUGGGGGGACCAUCCUCCAAGGCUAAAUACUCCUGACUGACCGAUAGUGAACCAGUACCGUGAGGGAAAGGCGAAAAGAACCCCGGCGAGGGGAGUGAAAAAGAACCUGAAACCGUGUACGUACAAGCAGUGGGAGCACCUUCGGGUGUGACUGCGUACCUUUUGUAUAAUGGGUCAGCGACUUAUAUUCUGUAGCAAGGUUAACCGUAUAGGGGAGCCGCAGGGAAACCGAGUCUUAACUGGGCGUUAAGUUGCAGGGUAUAGACCCGAAACCCGGUGAUCUAGCCAUGGGCAGGUUGAAGGUUGGGUAACACUAACUGGAGGACCGAACCGACUAAUGUUGAAAAAUUAGCGGAUGACUUGUGGCUGGGGGUGAAAGGCCAAUCAAACCGGGAGAUAGCUGGUUCUCCCCGAAAGCUAUUUAGGUAGCGCCUCGUGAAUUCAUCUUCGGGGGUAGAGCACUGUUUCGGCUAGGGGGUCAUCCCGACUUACCAACCCGAUGCAAACUACGAAUACCGAAGAAUGUUAUCACGGGAGACACACGGCGGGUGCUAACGUCCGUCGUGAAGAGGGAAACAACCCAGACCGCCAGCUAAGGUCCCAAAGUCAUGGUUAAGUGGGAAACGAUGUGGGAAGGCACAGACAGCCAGGAUGUUGGCUUAGAAGCAGCCAUCAUUUAAAGAAAGCGUAAUAGCUCACUGGUCGAGUCGGCCUGCGCGGAAGAUGUAACGGGGCUAAACCAUGCACCGAAGCUGCGGCAGCGACACUAUGUGUUGUUGGGUAGGGGAGCGUUCUGUAAGCCUGCGAAGGUGACCUGUGAGGGUUGCUGGAGGUAUCAGAAGUGCGAAUGCUGACAUAAGUAACGAUAAAGCGGGUGAAAAGCCCGCUCGCCGGAAGACCAAGGGUUCCUGUCCAACGUUAAUCGGGGCAGGGUGAGUCGACCCCUAAGGCGAGGCCGAAAGGCGUAGUCGAUGGGAAACAGGUUAAUAUUCCUGUACUUGGUGUUACUGCGAAGGGGGGACGGAGAAGGCUAUGUUAGCCGGGCGACGGUUGUCCCGGUUUAAGCAUGUAGGCUGAUUGUCCAGGCAAAUCCGGAUAAUCAAGGCUGAGGUGUGAUGACGAGGCACUACGGUGCUGAAGUAACAAAUGCCCUGCUUCCAGGAAAAGCCUCUAAGCAUCAGGUAACAUCAAAUCGUACCCCAAACCGACACAGGUGGUCAGGUAGAGAAUACCAAGGCGCUUGAGAGAACUCGGGUGAAGGAACUAGGCAAAAUGGUGCCGUAACUUCGGGAGAAGGCACGCUGGUGUGUAGGUGAAGUCCCUGCGGAUGGAGCUGAGACCAGUCGAAGAUACCAGCUGGCUGCAACUGUUUAUUAAAAACACAGCACUGUGCAAACACGAAAGUGGACGUAUACGGUGUGACGCCUGCCCGGUGCCGGAAGGUUAAUUGAUGGGGUUAUCCGUAAGGAGAAGCUCUUGAUCGAAGCCCCGGUAAACGGCGGCCGUAACUAUAACGGUCCUAAGGUAGCGAAAUUCCUUGUCGGGUAAGUUCCGACCUGCACGAAUGGCGUAAUGAUGGCCAGGCUGUCUCCACCCGAGACUCAGUGAAAUUGAACUCGCUGUGAAGAUGCAGUGUACCCGCGGCAAGACGGAAAGACCCCGUGAACCUUUACUAUAGCUUGACACUGAACAUUGAGCCUUGAUGUGUAGGAUAGGUGGGAGGCUUUGAAGCGUGGACGCCAGUCUGCGUGGAGCCAACCUUGAAAUACCACCCUUUAAUGUUUGAUGUUCUAACGUUGGCCCCUUACCGGGGUUGCGGACAGUGUCUGGUGGGUAGUUUGACUGGGGCGGUCUCCUCCCAAAGCGUAACGGAGGAGCACGAAGGUUAGCUAAUCCUGGUCGGACAUCAGGAGGUUAGUGCAAUGGCAUAAGCUAGCUUGACUGCGAGCGUGACGGCGCGAGCAGGUGCGAAAGCAGGUCAUAGUGAUCCGGUGGUUCUGAAUGGAAGGGCCAUCGCUCAACGGAUAAAAGGUACUCCGGGGAUAACAGGCUGAUACCGCCCAAGAGUUCAUAUCGACGGCGGUGUUUGGCACCUCGAUGUCGGCUCAUCACAUCCUGGGGCUGAAGUAGGUCCCAAGGGUAUGGCUGUUCGCCAUUUAAAGUGGUACGCGAGCUGGGUUUAGAACGUCGUGAGACAGUUCGGUCCCUAUCUGCCGUGGGCGCUGGAGAAUUGAGGGGGGCUGCUCCUAGUACGAGAGGACCGGAGUGGACGCAUCACUGGUGUUCGGGUUGUCAUGCCAAUGGCACUGCCCGGUAGCUAAAUGCGGAAGAGAUAAGUGCUGAAAGCAUCUAAGCACGAAACUUGCCCCGAGAUGAGUUCUCCCUGAGACUUUAAGUCUCCUGAAGGAACGUUGAAGACGACGACGUUGAUAGGCCGGGUGUGUAAGCGCAGCGAUGCGUUGAGCUAACCGGUACUAAUGAACCGUGAGGCUUAACCUU